RNAcentral lists this ribosomal RNA (468 nucleotides) under uncultured bacterium. RNAcentral's name for it is "partial 16S ribosomal RNA". It matches the Rfam family "Bacterial small subunit ribosomal RNA", at positions 28 to 507 of the family's 1533-position model. The record is from RNAcentral.
GACGAACGCUGGCGGCGUGCUUAACACAUGCAAGUCGAACGGAAAGGCCCUGCUUUUGUGGGGUGCUCGAGUGGCGAACGGGUGAGUAACACGUGAGUAACCUGCCCUUGACUUUGGGAUAACUUCAGGAAACUGGGGCUAAUACCGGAUAGGAGCUCCUGCUGCAUGGUGGGGGUUGGAAAGUUUCGGCGGUUGGGGAUGGACUCGCGGCUUAUCAGCUUGUUGGUGGGGUAGUGGCUUACCAAGGCUUUGACGGGUAGCCGGCCUGAGAGGGGGACCGGCCACAUUGGGACUGAGAGACGGCCCAGACUCCUACGGGAGGCAGCAGUGGGGAAUAUUGCACAAUGGGCGGAAGCCUGAUGCAGCGACGCCGCGUGCGGGAUGACGGCCUUCGGGUUGUAAACCGCUUUCGCCUGUGACGAAGCGUGAGUGACGGUAAUGGGUAAAGAAGCACCGGCUAACUACGUG